This is a long non-coding RNA of Athene cunicularia (burrowing owl), 850 nucleotides long. RefSeq lists it as uncharacterized. The transcript has 3 exons. The record is from RefSeq and is a predicted model, not a curated record. Lineage: Eukaryota; Metazoa; Chordata; Aves; Strigiformes; Strigidae.
UGCAAGUAUGCUUCCUCACUGAAUCCAGCCUCUUCUGCCUUGUCUGCAUGAGUAAGUAGAACUGCAGUGAAAUUCUUCCAUGUGGGACCCAGAAGUUCCUGUAAUGAAAAACAAAUCUUAAAUAGUUAUCUUUUCUUGUUCCUUUUCCUCACUCCCACCUCAUAUACUUAUGCAUUAACAGACCAGUUGUAUGUUCUUUUUCUGGCAGUAAUCCGAUUCAUGCUAUCUGAGUUGCUGAAAUUUCUGGGGUUUUUCACCUUCCCAAGACACUGACAUCUAUUUUCAGUGGAAAUAUGUGGUCGUGCAGUACUAGCAGUUCUCUGUUCUCUUAUUACAGAUGUUAAUAGAAUUUCUCCAGUUAAAAAAUGGCUGUGUAAAUAAGGAAAAAGGGUUGUUUAGCUAUGUCAUGCAUUAGUUUACAUCAGUAAUUUCCACAUAUCUGUAUUUCUACACUUUUUACAGCUCUUUGAAAUGCUUUUUUAAAAAAUCAGCAAAUAAUCUUGUGUUGAAAAAAUAAGUGAUGAAAUUUUGUGUAACAGCAACUGCAAUUCCAGCUGUAUACCAUAAAACUGAACUAUUCUCAGCAUUUCCAGAAAAACACAAAUCAAAUGCAUCAACCUAAGUGAUGGGCCAGAGAGUUGGUCUUUAACUGCUGUGGUUCAUCUGAUGGAGGGGAGGGGAGAAAACAAGCUCCUGUUGUCAAUGAGUACAGAAAAUUUUAAUAUGAAUAAGAGAUUGGGCUUUCAUUUACAGAUAUAAAUGAAAUUGCAACUUCAGUGCAAUCAUGUUAACUCCUGUGUAUGAAAAGAAGCCUACUUUGUUAAUAAAGUCAACUUUGCAAUGCAUCUUA